CAGUAGCCGCGGUAAGACGAACCGUGCAAACGUUACUCGGAAUCACUGGGCUUAAAGCGCACGUAGGCGGCGACAUAAGUUAGAGGUGAAAUCCCAUCGGCUCAACCGUGGAACUGCCUCUAAUACUGUGUUGCUUGAGGGAGGACGGGGCAUUCGGAACUUCCGGUGGAGCGGUGAAAUGUGUUGAUAUCGGAAGGAACGCCGGUGGCGAAAGCACUCUGCUGGGCCGACACUGACACUGAGAGACGAAAGCUAGGGGAGCAAAUGGGAUUAGAUACCCCUGUAGUCCCUGUCUCUUAUA
RNAcentral lists this ribosomal RNA (301 nucleotides) under uncultured bacterium. RNAcentral describes it as "partial 16S ribosomal RNA". It matches the Rfam family "Bacterial small subunit ribosomal RNA", at positions 509 to 808 of the family's 1533-position model. The record is from RNAcentral.